GGAUUGGAGUCUGCAACUCGACUCCAUGAAGUCGGAAUCGCUAGUAAUCGUGGAUCAGAAUGCCACGGUGAAUACGUUCCCGGGCCUUGUACACACCGCCCGUCACACCAUGGGAGUGGGUUGCAAAAGAAGUAGGUAGCUUAACCUUCAGGAGGGCGAUUACCACUUUGUGAUUCAUGACUGGGGUGAAGUCGUAACAAUGUAACCGUAGGGGAACCUGCGGUUGGAUCACCUCCUUACCUUAAAGAA
RNAcentral lists this ribosomal RNA (249 nucleotides) under Brucella oryzae. Its description in RNAcentral is "Ochrobactrum oryzae partial 16S ribosomal RNA". It matches the Rfam family "Bacterial small subunit ribosomal RNA", at positions 1295 to 1533 of the family's 1533-position model. The record is from RNAcentral. Lineage: Bacteria; Pseudomonadati; Pseudomonadota; Alphaproteobacteria; Hyphomicrobiales; Brucellaceae.